GUCCAGCCUGCCCAGUGACUACGGGUUCAACGGCCGCGGUAUUUUGACCGUGCAAAGGUAGCGCAAUCACUUGUCUUUUAAAUAGAGACCUGUAUGAAUGGCUAAACGAGGGCUUAACUGUCUCCCCCUUCAAGUCAGUGAAAUUGAUCUAUCCGUGCAGAAGCGGGUAUAACCAUACAAGACGAGAAGACCCUUUGGAGCUUAAGGUACAAAAUUCAAUCACGUUAAGCAACUCAAUAAAAAGCAAGAACUUAGUGAAAAAUGAAAUUUUACCUUCGGUUGGGGCGACCACGGAGGAAAAACAAGCCUCCGAGUGGAAUGGGCCAAAUCCCUAAAACUAAGAGAAACAUCUCUAAGCCACAGAACAUCUGACCAAAAAUGAUCCGGCUAAUAAGUCGAUCAACGAACCAAGUUACCCUAGGGAUAACAGCGCAAUCCUCUCCCAGAGUCCAUAUCGACGAGGGGGUUUACGACCUCGAUGUUGGAUCAGGACAUCCUAAUGGUGCAGCCGCUAU
This 515-nucleotide ribosomal RNA is filed under the name Ctenopharyngodon idella (grass carp). RNAcentral describes it as "partial 16S ribosomal RNA". It matches the Rfam family "Bacterial large subunit ribosomal RNA", at positions 1852 to 2565 of the family's 2925-position model. Lineage: Eukaryota; Metazoa; Chordata; Actinopteri; Cypriniformes; Xenocyprididae. The record is from RNAcentral.